RNAcentral lists this ribosomal RNA (253 nucleotides) under uncultured bacterium. RNAcentral's name for it is "partial 16S ribosomal RNA". It matches the Rfam family "Bacterial small subunit ribosomal RNA", at positions 524 to 776 of the family's 1533-position model. The record is from RNAcentral.
UACGUAGGGUGCAAGCGUUAAUCGGAAUUACUGGGCGUAAAGCGUGCGCAGGCGGUGAUGUAAGACAGGUGUGAAAUCCCCGGGCUUAACCUGGGAACUGCAUUUGUGACUGCAUCGCUGGAGUGCGGCAGAGGGGGAUGGAAUUCCGCGUGUAGCAGUGAAAUGCGUAGAGAUGUGGAGGAACACCGAUGGCGAAGGCAGCCCCCUGGGCUGAGAUUGACGCUCAGGCACGAAAGCGUGGGGAGCAAACAGG